GAUGAACAGAUCUGUGUAAUUUGCAAAAGAAUCUGCCAAAGUAGAUUUCUUUGAUUAAAUGAGAAGCUGAAGUGUUAUUCCUGUGGGGAUCUCAUGAUGUUAGACUCAUUUGUGUUUCUGUUGCAGUUCUAAUCUCUGUCAUGGUUUGUCAUUUUCAGCAGCAGAAAUCUGAAGACACUGAAGGAGCAAGGGUGAAGAAAAGGAGGAGAUUCCCUCACUGGAGGCUAAAAUGCAGUCUGCUCAGCAACUUGAUGGAAGAAGAAGAAAAAGGUCAAAGGUGGAACGGUGUAACAGCAACACCAUGUGGCGUACAAAUAACAGGAGCCAGAGCUGGACUUACCACUGUCUAUCUCCUGCUGAAGCUGCUGGUUUAUUAUACCCACUGAGAAAUUAAAUGUCAUGAAGGGCUUUGACCAUCUGAAGGACAUGCUGGUAUCCUGGCUGACCAUCAGGACCCUGAACCUCUUCCUGUGACAGAAGGACAGUUGGCAAACACAAACUAAAGAAGGGUUAACCCUAAACCUGUGAUAUGUAGCAGCUGUUAACACAACUGAUCCAGAAUGUGAAAAUCUUUUAACCAGCCUGGCAUGUAAAAAAGACAUUUUUUUUUUCUUGCUUUUUUUCAAACAAGCAAAAUCUAUGAACAGUUUUGUUGUUAAAGUUGGCUCAUGUAUACAGACAAGUCAACAAACUUUUCCACAAAGAUAUAAUUUCAGCACUUAAAGCAAUCAAUUUCUUGUUAGAAUAAAUUAAAAAUAUGGCACUUGCGUCCAAUUGAAAAGACGGCAGGCAUUACAGUAAAAGGUGGUAGCAGUAUUGAGAAAUUGAAAUAAAUCCGGCCAUUUGAUUGGUUGAAAAAUUAAAACAUUCUCAGUUGGGGGGAUUCUUGGUAUUGUGGGGGAUCUGCUGUGUGCAAUCAACUAUGUUGUUACAAAUCUAAAUGGAAACUUGUUUUAAGAUAAAUCAGUUCUACUUCUUAAAAAAAAAACCAUAAGAUUCUCAUCCAAAAUAUUUGGAUAAAAAAUUGAAAAACUUUGAGAAGUUUUAGUAUGCGUUGUGUCUGCUCUGGUGCAACAGCUGCAGCUUUGGUGGAUUUCCUCUUUCUGAAGCCGGUGGCUCUGGGCACGCACUAAAGAGGUGGUGAAGCUGUAGAAUCCAGCAGGGGGCUGCUGGGAUUCAGCAACAGCUCGUACUGAUGGCAGUGACCUCUUCUCCUCUGGUAUAUUAUGCAUAUUAUGUAGUUGUAGGGCUGUCAAUGUCUCACCUGAUCCAAGGACAGCACUUUAGCUGCAGGGACACAGCUGGAGCAGCAGGAAGGAGUCUAGCUUCCUGCUCAGGCACAGUCCUCUCCCACUUUCUUUGCCAACAGGAGAACCUGGAGACGCAGAGAUGCUGGAACUACAACAGGAUCCUCUGGUUCAGCUGAAACAGCUGAAGUCUGGUCUAAGCCAUUAGCCUGAAGUUCCCACAAACUGCCUCAAUGAUGGCCACAUAGUCAUCCAAGACCAGAGACAACAGGUCUUCAGGACCCCCCAGUUCUCGUAGCCGACAGAUGAAGGCUGCAAAUGGCAUCCACCAGUCAGUUGGCAUCAGGCCAUUUAGCAAGAACAGUGUUCAGUCCAGAAGGCCGCUGGAGUUUUGUAGAAGAAAUGACGGUCUGAAAAAAAGAAGCAAAUUUCAACGCAAGUAAAACAGUUCUAGAAACCAUCCUCUUGGGGAAGGAAAUCUCCUUCCCAGGACAGGAAGUGUUUCUCCCUUUCGCAGAAUUGAAGCCUCCUAUAGGCUGUCUCUCCCUUUGCCUGCAGGACAGACAACACGCUCUUUUGUCACAGUCUGGCAGCUGUUCCAAGAGCUAGAAGAAGAACCUAUAAGAAUAAAAGAACUUUCGCACGCUCCAGGUCUUUUGGAGCUCUGACACACCAUCCUCCUGACCACGCUCGUUACCAACGUUGGUAGCCCUGGGGGCAUGUUAGCUUCAGACCUCAGUUCCUGUAAGGCAUCCACAGGAACACCUAACACUCAAAGAACGGGUCACAGGAGAUUGGGCGGGUUCUGCGCAUGAUUUUUGGCGGUGUUCCCUGGUAGGUGUAGCGGCGUUUCCCUAUAGGGGCCUCGUCGCAGGUAUUUUGUUUAGUGUGGAGGUACGGCGGGUAGAGCUUCCCUCUUCCCUUCCCCUACGUCGGCUCGGGAGCACUUCCAUGGUUUCAGGGGGUGAUCAGCUUGUCUGGUUGCUUUUCCGGACCAUCGGGUUCUGAGUGCGUAAAUACCCCCCGCUACGCCUCCCGAAGACUAGGGCUGAGUUAGCUAGUUUUGGGUUAGGCAGUUAGUGGGACACACCUGCUUCUAGUGCGCAUUGCUUGUUGUUUUUUGCCACCCCUUUUGCGUGUUUACAACCAUGAACAGUGUGCUACGUUUACAAGGUUGGACACGAGAAGUUGCUGAUCAUGAAUCCUUGAGUAUUCCACAGUUCUUCUGACCGUGCUUCUUAUUCCUGGCGCUGCUUCACUUCAAUGUCUUUCCCCUGAAGGCUUGGGAAAAGUGUCUCUUUCUGAGUAAAAAAACAUAGGUGUGGGUUAGUUUUUGACAUUCUAUACUUCUGGUGGAAAAGUUUUUCUAAUCGGACAUGCAACCUUUAAGUAUGUUUGAGAACUGUAUUUAAUGAAAGAUCAAAGGGUGUCAUUCUUGUGCAAUUUGCUGAAGUUCAUUGGCCAUUCUUACCAUGAUUGUUAUGCCAUCUUGUCUUGGUUCAUCUUCCUCAUCCAUAUCAAAACUCAUGGCCUCUUCUCCAUGGUCCUCACUUGGUGGCUUUGUUGUCUCUGCCAGGUGUUCAACAGUCAGUGGUUGUGAAGGAGCAUCAAUCAGGACAUUGUCACCAAGAGUCAUAUCAUUAAAGCCAGAUUAUUCACAGCUGUAUCUACCAAAGAGUGAUGGAUCUUAUUUUGAGAGCAUUUGGUCUGCCUUACAGUCUUUUUGGAAAUUUUUGUAAUCAUAAUCUUAGGUUACAAAUAAAACAAUAGCCUCUUUUCAACAUACUCAAGCACUGUUUGUCUGAUGGUACAGAUACUCCACCCUGAUGAGUGUAGAAAGAGAGCUCAGGUCAUUUUUGUAGACAUGCACCUCUGGCUUAUUUUGUAAGACUUCACUUGUAUACCCAGUAAAAAUAUGUAAAAUCCUUAAUCAUCUGAAGACCAAGCACCCUUUGGCUCUUCAAGCUAAAGGUAUGCUUGAGCUGGCCACUGUAGGAGUACAGAGGUGGCAGAUGUUCCUUAGAUGCUGGUCCAGACCUCGUUCCACCUCACCAUUUCAUCAAUCAGUAACGUCUGGAACAUCACAUGUCUCUGAUGGAACCAUGUAAACAUCAGCAGUUAGGUUUACAGAUGCGAAAUUGCACAUACGAUCCAAGUUUCCACAUUUACCCUCAAAUUGAACAAGACCUGCAGUUACCUGGGAUGAACCACUGGAGGUUGAAGGACUCCAGAGAGGCGGAGCCUCUUGCACUGUCAGGCUAAUCCCGCCUUUAGUCAGCCUUCCAGUCUCUGUGUAGAGCUGCACCUGUGGCCAGUCUUGAAUAGAGCUGAGGUGCAGCCUCUAGGUGCUCCAGAUCUCCUCCAUGUGUAGAGGGUUCAGCUACAGGAUGUCCAGGGUCUUACAUCCUUCCGGGCCGUUGAAGCUGUCUAGAAGGUUCUGAAUGAUGAGCGCCGUUUCCUCAACUCCACAUGUCUAAUGUCGACAGUGGUGCCCCCACUUCUCGUUGGAAACCCUCUGGAUCACGUCCGCAUCCGUCAGGCCAACUAUCGCAUGCUUAGCCUGAGUGAGAUGGUGGGUAUCUCCAGAGUUCCCCUCGAAGAUGCAAUGAGACAGCUGCCUCAUGAAAGUGGGAUAGAGCUGGUGGCUCUCAUUGGUGACACCUGAUGCAAAGUGUCGCAUCAGGUGCCAGAUGUCCAGUCGAACCACCAGUCGCUCCCACUCCUAAACGAUAAACACCAACAGACUAUUAGGACAGAAGGCUGUCUGACACGUCAGCAGUAAUAACAUCAUCAUUGCAAAGUUGAGUUUGUACUGAAAACAAGGCAGCUGUCUUGGACACGCCGUCUCGACUGCAGCAGUCCCGGUCCAUAUAGAUGAGCUGGGUGGGGGAGGAACCUUGGCGAGUUGAUACCGCCUCAUGAGCCUGGUCGUUACCCUCAGAGCAGGUAAGGACGCUCAUGAGGACCUGACCAUGCUCGUUGCCGACUUUAUUGGCCCAGGCGGCUGAGUCAGAGGCGGCUCCUGCGAGAUUCUUCGUCACCUGAACAUGGAUGUUUUUUUUUAAAUGGAGAUGUUUCCUAAGAACAGAUUCAGACUGCUGUGUCAGAAUCCACAAUAGAAAACACUCCCAAACCUUCUUGGUGGAGUCAAUCUUCAGGAUGUACCCGAAGGUGGGCGUGAUCCUGGCCUUGUACUCGUCCAGCCACGUCAGGACGUCGUAGCUAUACACCGUUAGCAGCCAGAUGGGUGACGGCAGAGGGGGCAUAGGUGGAGGUUGUGGAAACUGCCCCCUCACGCUGCCCAAGGCCAGGAACUGCUUGCAGAUGCCAAGGUAGUGGACCGCUCUCCGCAUCCAGGAGUCGGAGUGCUGCUCCUGCAGGGUGUUGUACAGCCGGUUAGCACUGUUGCCCAACAUGUGAGACCUGAGCUGUGCAAUCGCCCUCUGGUCACAGGACAGCCUGCAUCAACACAAGCACAAAAUACAAACAUGUAAUCAAAGUUUUACACACAGACUAAAAUGUGGCUCAGUGUUGCCUCUUACUUGUGAGUACAGCUGGAAACUGGCAGCUGUAGGUGGGGGCCAGCUGCCUUAUGAUGCCCUGUGACCACCCCCCGACCUCCUUCUUACACCGACGGCACUCCAGGUACUCAGUGGCCAUGAGAUACCAGACGGCGAUGUCCAGCCUUUGUCAGAGACCCGUCACACAAAGGCUGGGGGCAUGUCAGCUGCAGACACCAGAUCCUGUGAGGCAUCCACAGGAACAGCUGACAUGCGAAGAAGAGGUCAGGAGAUGCGGGAGGUUGGUUGUAGAUUUGGGCAGGGUUGGGGAGGGUUCCACCUCAGAUUUAGCUCAGUGGUGAGCCUAGACUUCCCCGAGCUGUCCCUGGACAGCACCCGCCCAAUCCACUGCUGCCGCUCUGCAGUGAGAGCUGCCCGCCAGGACUCGGGCAGCAACUGAAGAGAGAAAAAGAAGGAGCUUUCAUUAAUGACUGCUGUUAGAGUCACAUUGAAACAAAAAGCUGCAUCUACUGUCACAUCACCUCAGCACUGCCAGCAGACGCAGGAGGUGGAACACCAGCUGGAGCUGGCUGCUCCUCAGUCUCAGCCACAUCAUCAGGGGGAGAAGGUGGAGCGCCAGGAGCAGAAGGAGUCUAUACUUGUGAGGCUGAAAGAGAAAAACAGAUUUUAAAGUAAAAAAAAAAAACAAAAGAAACUAACCAAAUUAGUGAGUCAGACAUGCUCACAAAUAAAUAUGAAUGAGUUUAGUUCUAAUGCAGAAGCUAUUAGAGGUUGAUUAGAUAUGAAAAGUUAACAUUUGGGAUUUAAUGAUGGACAGAUGCUAAAAGAAAAAAGACGUGACCGCAAUAGGAGAGAGGCUUGGUGUUCAUACGUGGGCUCCUCGGAUGUUCUGGAGGAAGAAGCUGGUGUGGAGGAGCAUGGACACACCACAGUACCACAUGAAGUCAUGACGUUCAUGUGUAACAUACCUGGAAAUGCAGGCUUGCCCAGAAGAUUCUUCACUUUGUCUGAGUUGGAAAUGCAAGCUAGAGAACGCCGGCCAGAGACGAACGCUGUCAAUCUAAAAACAAAAAAAGAUGUUAAAAGUGAAUUUAUAAGAACACAGGUAAAAAAAAAAGUGCAGUGAACAGCUUUGAGACUAAAGCAUCAUACCUAUGAACUGCUUUAGCUGCCAUGCCUGGUGUAGCUGAUGCAGAGCUGCUGCAGCUUUCUCCUUGUCUCUGGCCUUGAUGAAGCGUAUGGCGUUCUCCAUCUGUGUUCCUGGAGCAGGAAACUUCCUCCCCAAGUAGUUGACAAAACUGAUACAUGAAAUAAAUAGAAAUUACAGUGAGGGGACACAGGUUUACCUAAUUAAUGCAACAUCAAGCACUGCUCUUCUCCAUCUUCUCAUAAUCUGAUGUUAUUGUCAGUUAAGCCUAAAAAGGUCCAUCAUCUCAUACUGAUGACAAACUUCGUAUUGAUUUUCAGUGAUUACGUACCGGAUCUUCUUGGGGUCCUCAGACUUGUACAGACUCCGCAGGGUCUCAGAUUUAAAAUCCCCAAAGCCAACAAGGUCCUGUCCCUCCUGUCCAGGCUGAAGUGACCUCACCCGUGCCUCCUCAAACGCCUGGUGGAACCUGACUGCCUCCACAAAGUCAGGGUAGGCGGAGGAGUACCGGAUGAGGGCGUCCUGCAGGUCCAAAAGGUCUAUUAAAACCGUCACACUUUAAACUAGAAUAAAUAAAUCUUAUAUACAUCACCUUCUUGUUGGCCAUCAGGAGGGACUGGACCCUGUCCUCUCUCUCUCCUUCUGGUGGGAGGACUCCAGGCUGAUGGCGUAGCCCACGUCGGUUUCCAGCAGCCAGUGGAAGGUUCUGUCUUGGUACUUCCUGAACUGAAUCUUCCGCCGGCUCGGCACCAGGAUGUGGUUGUUGAUAUCCCCACCCUUGUUUAUGAUGUGGGCCCGUGCCUCCCUCUCCACCUCCUCCGGGGACUUGGCCCAGUGGCUCUCCUUGGGAGUACCCAGGGCUCCGUCCUCAUCCGAGGCUUUCAGGAGGAGCGUCCCAUUUGACGCCCUCCUGAAAACUGGAAAACACCAUCUAAUGGCCACAUAGUCCUGCAAAGCUAGGAACAAACAGGUCUUCAGAACCCCUACAGUUCUCAUUUCUGAUGGAUGAAGGUGGCAGAGCUGGCUGUAAAUGGUCUCAACCAGGCGGCUGGGCCACUUUGCAGGGCCAGCUUUCAGUCCCAGAAGGCCACUGGAUUUAUGUUAAAGAAAUGACGGGCCAAAAACAUGAAGCAGAUUUCAAAGUAAGUGAAAGAGUUCUAUAAACCAAUCCUACCAUUGGAGACUGUCCUUCCAAGGACAGGAAGUUUUCUUCUCCUUUGCAGCCUUGAAGCAACCUUUAGGCUGUCUCUCUCAGUGUCUGCAAAACAGACGAGCUGCUGUUUGUCAUAGUCUGGGUGGCUAUCCCAGAGUGCAACUAUUCUAUCCAUCCUACUGCGAGACUAAACCUAUGAGCUGCUUUAGCUGCCACGCCUGGUGGAGCUGAUGUAGAGCUGCUGCUGCAGGUAGAUGAAAUGGCGGCGGCAGCAGCUUUCUCCUUGUCUCAGGCCUUGAUGAAGCGUAUGGCGUUCUCCAUCUGUGUUCCUGGAGCAGGAAUCUUCCUCCGCAAGUAGUUGACAAGACUGAUACAUGAAAUAAAUAGAAAUUUUAGUGAGGGGAGACAGGUUUAUCUGAUUAAUGCAACCUCAAGCACUGCUCUUCUCCAUCUUCCCAUAAUGUGUUAUUGUCAGUUAAAGUUAAAAAGUGACAUUAUUUCGAAGACUGGAUGUUCAAUCUAAACAAAGCAAAGACAAUAAAAAAACUCCAGAGAUGUUGAUGAAAAUAAUUAAAUAAGAUAUCCUCCUACCUUGA
Molecule: long non-coding RNA, 7664 nt
Organism: Oryzias melastigma (Indian medaka)
Lineage: Eukaryota; Metazoa; Chordata; Actinopteri; Beloniformes; Adrianichthyidae
Exons: 4
Source: RefSeq, a predicted model, not a curated record